Molecule: non-coding RNA, 645 nt
Organism: Misgurnus anguillicaudatus (oriental weatherfish)
Lineage: Eukaryota; Metazoa; Chordata; Actinopteri; Cypriniformes; Cobitidae
Source: RefSeq, a predicted model, not a curated record
AGAGGGCAGCUGCAGUACACAAACACGAGGCCAAAUCUGGCGAGAAAGAUUUCCGGUGUUUGAAAAUCAACAACACCGACCAGCGAGCAGCCAAGGGGAAAGCAAUCUUCCACACUCGUUUGGUCUUGUGUCAAAGCUGUGUGAAACUGGAGGGAGAAACUUGAGAGACCAUGCCGGAAGAAUGCUGGACAGAGUUCCAUAAAAUUCAUUAAUUUCAAAGUUCAACAUGAAUGGUGGUAGUCCACUGCAGAAGCAAGCAUUUGAAAAAACAUCAGUUCUCAGUUAUUAAAGAUGCUGUGUUGAACAACUUCCCAGCAGCAACAGAACUGGAAGUGAAGGAUGCAAUGGGGGCAUUUCAAACAGGCACCGGGGGGGGGGGGGGGGGGUAUAGAAAUUAGUACAAUUAAUAAGUUGAAGUGAACUGAAGAUAAGUUUGUUAAUGUUUAGAUGUUAUUUCAUUUUUAAAAUUUUAUUUUGUUAUUUAUGCUUUUAUUUUGUUACUGUUUUUAUUCUUUUUGUUAAAAGUAGUUUUUCAUUUUGUCUUAUCUGAAUUUCUAUUGUAUUAACAAUAUUUCUUGUAAUAAAUUGCAUGAUUACAUGUUUAUGAGAACCUUUUUUAAUGGAUUAAAAAUAAUUCUUUAGCCA